GCGACCAUACCAGGUUGGAAACACCGGUUCUCAUCUGAUCAUCGAAGUUACAUAACGUCGUACCUGGUUAAUGCUUGCAUGGGUGACUGGCAAGGAAUACCUGGCUUUGCGGAUUUU
Molecule: ribosomal RNA, 117 nt
Filed under: Fasciola hepatica (liver fluke)
Lineage: Eukaryota; Metazoa; Platyhelminthes; Trematoda; Plagiorchiida; Fasciolidae
Source: RNAcentral